GAGUUUGAUCCUGGCUCAGGAUGAACGCUAGCGGCAGGCCUAAUACAUGCAAGUCAAGGGGAUAGCAAUAUCACCGGCGGACGGGUGCGUAACGCGUACACAACGUGCCAAGGGAGGGGGAAAGCGGCUGGAAACGGCCGGUAAUACCCCAUGGUGUUGUUAGAUGGCAUCAUCUGACAACUAAAGUACCAGCGCCCUUGGAUCGGUGUGCGUUCGAUUAGCUAGUUGGCGGGGUAACGGCCCACCAAGGCUCCGAUCGAUAGGGGGUGUGAGAGCAUGGCCCCCCACACGGGUACUGAGACACGGACCCGACUCCUACGGGAGGCAGCAGUAAGGAAUAUUGGACAAUGGGCGGAAGCCUGAUCCAGCCAUGCCGCGUGAAGGAUGAAGGCGCUCAGCGUUGUAAACUUCUUUUGGAUGGGAACAAUAAUCGAGACCUGUCUUGACUUGAGGGUACCAUCAGAAUAAGCACCGGCUAACUCCGUGCCAGCAGCCGCGGUAAUCC
RNAcentral lists this ribosomal RNA (505 nucleotides) under uncultured bacterium. RNAcentral describes it as "bacterial SSU rRNA". It matches the Rfam family "Bacterial small subunit ribosomal RNA", at positions 9 to 526 of the family's 1533-position model. The record is from RNAcentral.